Molecule: long non-coding RNA, 686 nt
Organism: Arachis stenosperma
Lineage: Eukaryota; Viridiplantae; Streptophyta; Magnoliopsida; Fabales; Fabaceae
Exons: 3
Source: RefSeq, a predicted model, not a curated record
UGUUAAACGCAAAGAGAAGAUGAGAGACAGAGCAGCAAGUCUUGGUAGAGGGAGUAGUUGGCGCUGGCAAGGGAAAGACUUCCUCCAGCGACUUUGUAGAGAUGAAGAAAACGACGGUGAAAAAAGAAAAGUCGAAGGAAGAAGGAGAAGAGGGUGGCGAGGAUGACAGUGACGGUCACAGAGAAGGAAGCUAAGUCUACAGAGAAAAGAAGAGGAAUGAGGCGACGGCGGUGAUAGAGUCCACGGUCGCUGUUCGAUCCGUAGAGCUACGUCCUCCGUGGGACGGUAUCACAGCUAUUUUUUCGCCGGUGGAUGUUGCGAAUGAAGAAUGAAGAGAGAUUACGAGAUGUCGACGUCGGCAAUGGUGGAGCUAGCCUCCUAUCCUCGCCAAUGACACCUAUGAAAUGAUGCAACAAAGGAGUGGAGCAAAAGAGACAAGCUUUUGGUGGUUUAAAGUCACUAUCUCAAAGCAUCAGAAGUGGCCAAGAAAAAAACAAUCAUUUUGGGACUAGAAUCUUAGCAGCAAAUUGAUGACACCGGUGAUGAAAACUGAGAGCUUUGAUAUCCUAUCUUGGGCGGUAUUACAGAGUGGUAGCAGGUAAUUAGGAGCUAAAAUCAUGUUUAGGAAAUUCACUAAAUUUUGCUGUUGUCAGUGAAUAUAGUUGUGAAUGAACUAGACAAGACCU